Molecule: ribosomal RNA, 846 nt
Filed under: uncultured Bacillota bacterium
Lineage: Bacteria; Bacillati; Bacillota
Description: bacterial SSU rRNA
Rfam family: Bacterial small subunit ribosomal RNA
Source: RNAcentral
CAAGUCGAACGAGAAAGCCGCAAGGUGAGUAAAGUGGCGUACGGGUGAGUAACACGUGGAUAAUCUGCCCUUUAGUGGGGAAUACCGCUGGGAAACCGGCGACAAUACCGCAUAAGCUCGAGAGAGGAAAGCAGCAAUGCGCUGAAGGAGGAGUCCGCGGUCGAUUAGUUAGUUGGCGGGGUAAAGGCCCACCAAGACUGUGAUCGAUAGCCGGCCUGAGAGGGCACACGGCCACACUGGCACUGAAACACGGGCCAGACUCCUACGGGAGGCAGCAGUGGGGAAUCUUGCACAAUGGGGGAAACCCUGAUGCAGCGACGCCGCGUGAGCGAUGAAGCCCCUCGGGGUGUAAAGCUCUUUCGGCAGGGAAGAUUAUGACGGUACCUGCAAAAGCAGCUGCGGCUAACUACGUGCCAGCAGCCGCGGUAAUACGUAGGCAGCAAGCGUUGUUCGGAGUUACUGGGCGUAAAGGGUGCGUAGGCUGCUUUUUAAGUUUGGUGUGAAAUCUCCCGGCUCAACCGGGAGGGUGCGCCGAAUACUGAGAGGCUAGAGUGUGGGAGAGGAAAGUGGAAUUCCUGGUGUAGCGGUGAAAUGCGUAGAUAUCAGGAGGAACACCGGUGGUGUAAACGGCUUUCCGGACCAUAACUGACGCUGAGGCACGAAAGCGUGGGUAGCAAACAGGAUUAGAUACCCUGGUAGUCCACGCCCUAAACGAUGCAUAUUUGGUGUGGGCCAUUCAUUUGGUCUGUGCCGGAGCUAACGCGUUAAAUACGCCGCCUGGGGAGUACAGUCGCAAGGCUGAAACUCAAAGGAAUUGACGGGGGCCCGCACAAGCGGUGGAGCACG